UUUCCAGACUCCUACGGGAGGCAGCAGUGAGGAAUAUUGGGCAAUGGGGGCAACCCUGACCCAGCCAUGCCGCGUGAGUGAAGAAGGUCUUCGGAUUGUAAAGCUCUUUCGGACGUGACGAUGAUGACGGUAGCGUCUAAAGAAGCACCGGCAAACUUCGUGCCAGCAGCCGCGGUAAUACGUAGGGGGCAAGCGUUAUCCGGAUUUACUGGGUGUAAAGGGAGCGUAGACGGCAUGGCAAGUCUGGUGUGAAAGGCAGGGGCUCAACCCCUGGACUGCAUUGGAAACUGUCAGGCUGGAGUGCAGGAGAGGUAAGUGGAAUUCCUAGUGUAGCGGUGAAAUGCGUAGAUAUUAGGAGGAACACCAGUGGCGAAGGCGACUUACUGGACUGUAACUGACGUUGAGGCUCGAAAGCGUGGGGAGCAAACAGGAUUAGAUACCCUCGUA
This 447-nucleotide ribosomal RNA is filed under the name uncultured bacterium. RNAcentral's name for it is "bacterial SSU rRNA". It matches the Rfam family "Bacterial small subunit ribosomal RNA", at positions 328 to 792 of the family's 1533-position model. The record is from RNAcentral.